Molecule: unclassified non-coding RNA, 148 nt
Filed under: uncultured fungus
Lineage: Eukaryota; Fungi
Description: sequence contains ITS1
Source: RNAcentral
UGAUAAAUAAAUCAAACAACCAUGGUAUAAUUGUCUUGUGCUGCGCUUGCUCGCGCCCCGCACGGAUGCAGGGCAGUCGCUCACGCCGCGGUGCCACAUGUAUCAUAUCGCGUUUGUAAUGAUCCUUCCGCAGGUUCACCUACGGAAA